Molecule: ribosomal RNA, 1445 nt
Filed under: uncultured organism
Description: SSU rRNA
Rfam family: Bacterial small subunit ribosomal RNA
Source: RNAcentral
GCUACAGGCUUAACACAUGCAAGUCGAGGGGCAGCAUGGUCUUAGCUUGCUAAGGCCGAUGGCGACCGGCGCACGGGUGAGUAACACGUAUCCAACCUGCCGUCUACUCUUGGACAGCCUUCUGAAAGGAAGAUUAAUACAAGAUGGCAUCAUGAGUCCACAUGUUCACAUGAUUAAAGGUAUUCCGGUAGACGAUGGGGAUGCGUUCCAUUAGAUAGUAGGCGGGGUAACGGCCCACCUAGUCUUCGAUGGAUAGGGGUUCUGAGAGGAAGGUCCCCCACAUUGGAACUGAGACACGGUCCAAACUCCUACGGGAGGCGGCAGUGAGGAAUAUUGGUCAAUGGGCGAGAGCCUGAACCAGCCAAGUAGCGUGAAGGAUGACUGCCCUAUGGGUUGUAAACUUCUUUUAUAAAGGAAUAAAGUCGGGUAUGCAUACCCGUUUGCAUGUACUUUAUGAAUAAGGAUCGGCUAACUCCGUGCCAGCAGCCGCGGUAAUACGGAGGAUCCGAGCGUUAUCCGGAUUUAUUGGGUUUAAAGGGAGCGUAGAUGGAUGUUUAAGUCAGUUGUGAAAGUUUGCGGCUCAACCGUAAAAUUGCAGUUGAUACUGGAUAUCUUGAGUGCAGUUGAGGCAGGCGGAAUUCGUGGUGUAGCGGUGAAAUGCUUAGAUAUCACGAAGAACUCCGAUUGCGAAGGCAGCCUGCUAAGCUGCAACUGACAUUGAGGCUCGAAAGUGUGGGUAUCAAACAGGAUUAGAUACCCUGGUAGUCCACACGGUAAACGAUGAAUACUCGCUGUUUGCGAUAUACGGCAAGCGGCCAAGCGAAAGCGUUAAGUAUUCCACCUGGGGAGUACGCCGGCAACGGUGAAACUCAAAGGAAUUGACGGGGGCCCGCACAAGCGGAGGAACAUGUGGUUUAAUUCGAUGAUACGCGAGGAACCUUACCCGGGCUUAAAUUGCAGAUGAAUUACGGUGAAAGCCGUAAGCCGCAAGGCAUCUGUGAAGGUGCUGCAUGGUUGUCGUCAGCUCGUGCCGUGAGGUGUCGGCUUAAGUGCCAUAACGAGCGCAACCCUUGUUGUCAGUUACUAACAGGUUCCGCUGAGGACUCUGACAAGACUGCCAUCGUAAGAUGUGAGGAAGGUGGGGAUGACGUCAAAUCAGCACGGCCCUUACGUCCGGGGCUACACACGUGUUACAAUGGGGGGUACAGAGGGCCGCUACCACGCGAGUGGAUGCCAAUCCCCAAAACCUCUCUCAGUUCGGACUGGAGUCUGCAACCCGACUCCGCGAAGCUGGAUUCGCUAGUAAUCGCGCAUCAGCCACGGCGCGGUGAAUACGUUCCCGGGCCUUGUACACACCGCCCGUCAAGCCAUGGGAGCCGGGGGUACCUGAAGUGCGUAACCGCGAGGAGCGCCCUAGGGUAAAACUGGUGACUGGGGCUAAGUCG